UACGUAGGGGGCAAGCGUUGUCCGGAUUUAUUGGGCGUAAAGAGCUCGUAGGCGGUUUGGUAAGUCUGGUGUGAAAUCUCCACGCUCAACGUGGAGGGGCCACCCGAUACUGCCAUGACUGGAGUCCGGUAGAGGAGUGUGGAAUUCCCGGUGUAGCGGUGAAAUGCGCAGAUAUCGAGAGGAACACCUGCGGCGAAGGCGGGUUGCUGGGCCGACACUGACGCUGAUGCGCGAAAGCCAGGGGAGCGAACGGG
Molecule: ribosomal RNA, 254 nt
Filed under: uncultured bacterium
Lineage: Bacteria
Description: partial 16S ribosomal RNA
Rfam family: Bacterial small subunit ribosomal RNA
Source: RNAcentral